This 453-nucleotide ribosomal RNA is filed under the name uncultured bacterium. Its description in RNAcentral is "bacterial SSU rRNA". It matches the Rfam family "Bacterial small subunit ribosomal RNA", at positions 339 to 794 of the family's 1533-position model. The record is from RNAcentral.
CUACGGGAGGCAGCAGUGAGGAAUAUUGCGCAAUGGGCGAAAGCCUGACGCAGCAACGCCGCGUGGGUGAUGAAGGCCUUCGGGUCGUAAAGCCCUGUCAGAUGGGACGAACCACCCCGCAAGGGGCCUGACGGUACCAUCGAAGGAAGCACCGGCUAACUCCGUGCCAGCAGCCGCGGUAAUACGGAGGGUGCAAGCGUUGUUCGGAAUCACUGGGCGUAAAGGGCGCGUAGGCGGCUUCAAUAGUCCGAUGUGAAAGCCCGGGGCUCAACCCCGGAAGUGCAUUGGAAACUGUGAGGCUUGAGUUCGGGAGAGGAAGGCAGAAUUCCCGGUGUAGGGUUGAAAUCCGUAGAUAUCGGGAGGAAAACCGGUGGCGAAGGCGGCCUUCUGGAACGAAACUGACGCUGAGGCGCGAAAGCGUGGGGAGCAAACAGGAUUAGAUACCCUGGUAGC